CAGUAGCCGCGGUAAUACGAGGGGGGCAAGCGUUGUUCGGAAUUAUUGGGCGUAAAGGGUGCGUAGGCGGUCUGAUAAGUCUUAUGUGAAAUCUCUGGGCUCAACCCAGAGUCUGCAUGGGAAACUGUCAGGCUUGAGAAUGGGAGAGGUGAGUGGAAUUUCCGGUGUAGCGGUGAAAUGCGUAGAUAUCGGAAGGAACACCUGUGGCGAAAGCGGCUCACUGGACCAUUUCUGACGCUGAUGCACGAAAGCUAGGGGAGCAAACAGGAUUAGAGACCCCCGUAGUCCCUGUCUCUUAUAC
This 301-nucleotide ribosomal RNA is filed under the name uncultured bacterium. Its description in RNAcentral is "partial 16S ribosomal RNA". It matches the Rfam family "Bacterial small subunit ribosomal RNA", at positions 509 to 807 of the family's 1533-position model. The record is from RNAcentral.